Molecule: ribosomal RNA, 502 nt
Filed under: uncultured bacterium
Lineage: Bacteria
Description: partial 16S ribosomal RNA
Rfam family: Bacterial small subunit ribosomal RNA
Source: RNAcentral
AUUGAACGCUGGCGGCGUGCUUAACACAUGCAAGUCGAUCGGUAACAGGUGUAGCAAUACAUGCUGACGAGAGGCGGACGGGUGAGGAACGCUUGGGAAUCUGCCUAUCAGCGGGGGACAACCCGGGGAAACCCGGGCUAAUACCGCAUACGCUCUACGGAGGAAAGCCGGGGACCGCAAGGCCUGGCACUGAUAGAUGAGCCCAAGUCGGAUUAGCUAGUUGGCGGGGUAACGGCCCACCAAGGCGACGAUCCGUAGCUGGUCUGAGAGGACGAUCAGCCACGCCGGAACUGAGACACGGUCCGGACUCCUACGGGAGGCAGCAGUGGGGAAUAUUGGACAAUGGGCGAAAGCCUGAUCCAGCGACGCCGCGUGGGUGAAGAAGGCCUGCGGGUUGUAAAGCCCUUUCGGUAGGGACGAAAGCUCUCGACCUAACACGUCGGGAGGUUGACUUAACCUACAAAAGAAGCACCGGCUAACUCUGUGCCAGCCGCCGCCGUAA